RNAcentral lists this ribosomal RNA (474 nucleotides) under Xenorhina cf. oxycephala ZMB 74635. Its description in RNAcentral is "partial 16S ribosomal RNA". Lineage: Eukaryota; Metazoa; Chordata; Amphibia; Anura; Microhylidae. The record is from RNAcentral.
AUUCAAGAAAAGGAUAUAAGUCCAACUUUAAGCUUUAAAAUAGCAUUAAAUAUAUAAACAAGCUUAAAAUUUAGUCAAAUAAGGUACAGCCUAUUUGAAACAGGAUACAACCUACAACAGAGGGUAACACCUAAAUAGGCGUAACCAAGUAGGCCUAAAAGCAGCCACCUUUUAAAUAGCGUUAAAGCUUCACUACACCCCACUAUUAAUCCCAACCUAAAUCAAAAACCCCUUACCAAUAUUGAAUGACUCUAUAAUUAUAUAGAAAACCCUAUGUCUGAACUAGUAAUAAGAAUAACUUCUCCACAAUAUAAGCAUAAGCCGGAAUGAACCCAUCGCCGGCACUUACCGCCAAUGAACCUACAGUAAUAACUAAACAAGAAAACCUUACUUUUUUAGGCGUUAACCUUACACCAGAAUAUUCCCGGAAAGAUUAAAAAAGGGGGAAGGAACUCGGCAAAUAUUAAUCCCGCC